CUCAUCACUCCCACCGCACCGGCCUCGUGUUAGCAAACCGUAAUAACCGCUGCCUCCUCCUGCUUCUCUUUCCACACCAGUAAAGCUAUGACCUCGGUGGUGACGCAAUUCCCCUGCGUCAGUAGUAUUAUUCUCUGCCCUAAUUUCCAUCAUCCCAAUCCCAAAUGCUUUGCAUUUUCCCGCCAAAUCAACGUCCAAGAAUCCAGCUUUAUAUUUCCUACUGCUACCUUCAGCUCAACAUUUCGCCGCAGCAGAACACAAUCGCUUUGCUUAAUCUCCUGUUCCGCUUCCAAUAAGCCUUCUCCCUCUCCUGAUUUCAGGUCUCUCUCUCUUACAUGUAUUUGUAUUUUAUAUGUAUGCAUUUGGUUACAAUGUUAAUACCUUCUAUUUCUAUUGUCAUAUGAAUUCAAGGUUUGCAUUAUUAUUGCAAUGAUGAAACAUUAAAUUGAAUCGUAAUGAAAUAAAUAAAAAAUUUACUCCCCUCAGUGUUAAAGUUCUAAAAUUAGACAGACAUUUGUAAAACUAGGACUUUUAAGGAAAAUUUUAUUUUUUCCAACUUAUCCACAACAUUAGUUAGCAAUUUAGUGGUGGUGCCAUGAUGGUACUCAAUCAACCACCAAUAAAAGUAAUAGUUUUGUCACUUUAUACUCUAAAAAUAGAAAUGUAUAUCUAAUUUUGGAAUAGACAAUAAAGAAUUAGAAAUUAUGUAUUAUUCUGGAUGCUAGUUUCCUUUCAAUGUGACUUGAAGGGUGUUCUGUAAAGUUAUUUAAUUUAAACAAGUUGAGUAGGAUUAAAACACUGGCAGAUAAUUUGCCCUUUACGAGAAUCAAGCUUUUGUUUGACUGAUAUGUUUAUUGAUUUAGCAAUCUCAUUUUGAUACAAGUUAAAUUCCAACUAUCAGAGGUUUAAACAUUGUUAAAAUUGAAUCCUGCAAAAGUAAAAUUCAUCGUCUUUUAAUGUGCUGAAAACCACUGCAUAUGUCUUUGUAGUUGAUGGUGUGUGGUGAUAGAUUAAAUAGACAACUCCUUUACACAACAAGGGAUCCUCAGUGUAAAGUAACUUAUUCAUAAGUAUCUUUCUUUAUGUCAUCAAGUUUUCAUUACUGUUGUAUACUCGUAGUUAUGCAAUUCACUACUGUUGUAUACUUGUAUUUAUGCGAUAACAUGAGGUGGUUGUAGUGUUUCCUUCCUGACUUCUGAUUUUGCCUUGUUUCUUGUUUGGUUUCAUGAAGAAAAUGGAUAUCAUUUAAGAUAUCAAAGUUAUAUUUCUUAUCUAAAGCUGUUUCCUUUAAGCAAAAAGCUUAGGCAAUCAGAUUAUGUUAAGUGCUACCUGUUAUCUGUAAUAUAUAGUAUUAUUUAAUAUAUAUAUAAAUAUAAUAAAACAAAACAUAAUUUUAUAUAUAUAACACAGAAAAUAUUAAUAAACAAAUCCGAGUCCUUUGAAUUCACAAAGUCUCCUUAAAGCAAAUUUAUUCCCUCACAGGUGCUAAGGAUUAAAUGAAUAAUUGCUUCCCAAGAUAAAACGGAUUUCCAGUUCUUAAUUAGAAGCACUUCAAAAUUAAGAACAUUUCGAACCAAAUUAUAUGUUAUGUACUAAACUUACAUGAAUAAUAAUAAUGAUGACGCAUGCAAAAAAUAAACUGAAAAGGAAGAAAAUUCUUACUUUUGUUUGUCUGUCAAAAAAGUAAAUUAGAAGCACUAUGUUGUCUGUCAAAAGUGUGCCUAUGUUGUCUGUCAAAAGUGCACACUACACUAUGUUGUUUUUUGUCUGUCAAAAUUUGGCAAAAAAACAGUGUAUAGAACGAGAAAAAAUAAGAACAGGAACAGGAAGGAGAAACAGGUCUAUAUCUUAAUGCGCGCCCAUAUUCGUUAAUUUAUAGAAUAAUUACAUGGUUUAUUACCGUUGGCUGGUGCGCAAACCGUUAGUAUUGAUAAUAAAUUUUGUUCAAAAACAAAUAUAUAUCAAGACUCGACCCGAACCCGGCCCGCCCACUUUGGAGUCAAUUUUCUCAUUCAAUUCUUAAUGGAUUUGAACACAUAAAUAUACCAAGUUAUACUCCUCAUGAAGGAGAACACAUUGGUGCAAAGACCCGACAUUUUCGGAAUGUGGGUCCCUCAUUUAAUUGAGCCUCAAAAUGCUCUAAUAUUUCAUAUUUCAAAUCCCAUUUCCAACAAUCCCCCACAUGAAUGUAAAAUUGGCUUUAUAUCAUGUAAAAAGAAAAUGUUAUGAAAAUGCAGACACUAGUUCGAGUACAUGAGAAAAGAUACUUCAUCGGGUUAAGUAGCCUAGUGGCUUUGAACUUGCCCUAGUAAAGUCUAUCGGAUUUAUUUGACUAAUCAGUAGACUUGAUGUCUUUGAACUGUCAGCUUUUCGUGUAAACCAAGACAAUAGAAUUCACAAAAUAUCUCUUCAAACAUAAUUGGUUCUCACGUUUGUGUUCAUUUUGGCCUUGAAACACCUCUUGGUUCCGUAAGUAUAUUAGAGAAUUCAGCCUUCAAAAUUCUCACAAAAGUGGCCCCCUUCUUACUCACGUAGGUGACUUCUAUCAAGAGUAUCCUGCAAUACUCCACUUGAACGUGUUUCAAGAUAUAAAAGUCAUUAAAAACGUAACUUAUCCUGAUUCUCACGGCAGAUGUGCACUGUCUCAUAAUAGGAAUGGUUAGGAGUAAUUAUCUCCUCAGUGCUUUACUGAGUACUACAUAGUUCGGUUUGCCCAUUGAACCUAGAUCUUGGGAUCUCCAGUCAGCUAGGUUGGGUUGCCACUAUGACGACUCUUAUUUAAACAGUAGGCUUUAAACCCAUUCCCUUCGAUGAUUUUUCCACUUGCUCUCUUGUUAAACCUUUCGUAAGCGGAUCCGCAAUAUUAUCUUUUGACUUUACAUAGUCAAUUGAGAUAAUUCCAUUUGAGAGCAAUUGUCUAACGGUAUUAUGUCUUCGUCGUAUAUGACGUGACUUACCGUUAUAUAAAUGACUCUGUGCUCUUCCAAUCGCUGAUUGGCUAUCACAGUGUAUACAUAUAGCUGGCACAGGUCUUGACCAAUUUGGAAUAUCCUCUAAGAAAUUACGAAGCCACUCUGCUUCUUCUCCAGCUUUGUCUAACGCAAUGAAUUCUGAUUCCAUUGUAGACCUUGCAAUACACGUUUGUUUUGAGGAU
Molecule: long non-coding RNA, 3154 nt
Filed under: Panax ginseng (ginseng)
Lineage: Eukaryota; Viridiplantae; Streptophyta; Magnoliopsida; Apiales; Araliaceae
Description: long non-coding RNA (PGIN_LNC007058)
Source: RNAcentral